GACGAACGCUGGCGGCGUGCCUAAUACAUGCAAGUCGAACGCUUCUUUCCUCCCGAGUGCUUGCACUCAAUUGGAAAGAGGAGUGGCGGACGGGUGAGUAACACGUGGGUAACCUACCCAUCAGAGGGGGAUAACACUUCGAAACAGGUGCUAAUACCGCAUAACAGUUUAUGCCGCAUGGCAUAAGAGUGAAAGGCGCUUUCGGGUGUCGCUGAUGGAUGGACCCGCGGUGCAUUAGCUAGUUGGUGAGGUAACGGCUCACCAAGGCCACGAUGCAUAGCCGACCUGAGAGGGUGAUCGGCCACACUGGGACUGAGACACGGCCCAGACUCCUACGGGAGGCAGCAGUAGGGAAUCUUCGGCAAUGGACGAAAGUCUGACCGAGCAACGCCGCGUGAGUGAAGAAGGUUUUCGGAUCGUAAAACUCUGUUGUUAGAGAAGAACAAGGACGUUAGUAACUGAACGUCCCCUGACGGUAUCUAACCAGAAAGCCACGGCUAACUACGUG
Molecule: ribosomal RNA, 508 nt
Filed under: uncultured bacterium
Lineage: Bacteria
Description: partial 16S ribosomal RNA
Rfam family: Bacterial small subunit ribosomal RNA
Source: RNAcentral